GAUGAACGCUGGCGGCGUGCCUAAUACAUGCAAGUCGAGCGAACGGACGAGAAGCUUGCUUCUCUGAUGUUAGCGGCAGACGGGUGAGUAACACGUGGAUAACCUCCCUAUAUGACGGGUAAAACUUCGGGAAACCGGAGCUAAUACCGGAUAAUCUCUUGAACCGCAGGGUUCAAAAGUGAAAGACGGUGUUGCUGUCACGUAUAGAUGGAUCCGCGCUGCAUUAGCUAGUUGGUAAGGUAAUGGCUUACGAAGGCAACGAUGCGUAGCCGACCUGAGAGGGUGAUAGGCGACACUGGAACUUGGACACGCACAAGAGUCCUACGGGAGGCAGCAGUAGCGUAUGUUACGCAGAGGUGGGGAGUAUGACGCAGCGACGCGGAGCGAGUGAUGGCGGCCUUCGGAUCGUAAUGCUCUGUUAUGAGUGAUGAACAUAUGUGUAAGGAACUGUGCACUUCGUGACGGUAACGAAUCAGAAAGCCCCGGCUAACUACGUG
This 497-nucleotide ribosomal RNA is filed under the name uncultured bacterium. RNAcentral describes it as "partial 16S ribosomal RNA". It matches the Rfam family "Bacterial small subunit ribosomal RNA", at positions 28 to 507 of the family's 1533-position model. The record is from RNAcentral.